CCUACGGGGGGCAGCAGUGGGGGAUAUUGCACAAUGGGGGAAACCCUGAUGCAGCGACGCCGCGUGUGGGAAGACGGUCCUCUGGAUUGUAAACCACUGUCCCCAGGGACGAAGAUGACGGUACCUGGGGCGGAAGCUCCGGCUAACUACGUGCCAGCAGCCGCGGUAAUACGUAGGGAGCAAGCGGUGUGCGGAAUUACUGGGGGUAAAGGGUGCGUAGGCGGGAUGGCAAGUUGGGGGUUAAAUCUACCGGCUCAACUGGUAGUCGCACUUAAAACUGCUAUUCUUGAGUGAAGUAGAGGCAGGCGGAAGUCCUAGUGUAGCGGUGAAAUGCGUAGAUAUUAGGAGGAACACCAGUGGCGAAGGCGGCCUGCUGGGCUUUUACUGACGCUGAGGCUCGAAAGUGUGGGGAGCAAACAGGAUUAGAUACCCCUGUAGUC
RNAcentral lists this ribosomal RNA (440 nucleotides) under uncultured bacterium. RNAcentral's name for it is "partial 16S ribosomal RNA". It matches the Rfam family "Bacterial small subunit ribosomal RNA", at positions 338 to 795 of the family's 1533-position model. The record is from RNAcentral.